AAUUUGAUAUAAAUGAAGUAUGGUCCAAAGUAAAACAAUUAACUAAUAAUGGCAUAUCACUUGACAUGCAAAUUCUAAGUCAUUUCCGACAAGAGUUAGGAAGGUGAGAGCGUUUUUGUUCUAUGAUCCUAUUAUGUAAUAUUGUCCAUGCAUUACAUGCGCUACAAAUGAUGUCAUCUUAUAUGCACAAUCCAAUAAAUGAGAGAAAUCAAGAAAGGGAGCGUAGGCGUCUCGAUCUAAUGAAAGAAUUAGUACAAACUGAAAGAUGUCGGGG
This 274-nucleotide long non-coding RNA is filed under the name Lupinus angustifolius (narrow-leaved blue lupine). RNAcentral describes it as "long non-coding RNA (LANG_LNC000013)". Lineage: Eukaryota; Viridiplantae; Streptophyta; Magnoliopsida; Fabales; Fabaceae. The record is from RNAcentral.